This 437-nucleotide ribosomal RNA is filed under the name uncultured Oscillospiraceae bacterium. Its description in RNAcentral is "bacterial SSU rRNA". It matches the Rfam family "Bacterial small subunit ribosomal RNA", at positions 341 to 792 of the family's 1533-position model. Lineage: Bacteria; Bacillati; Bacillota; Clostridia; Eubacteriales; Oscillospiraceae. The record is from RNAcentral.
ACGGAAGGCAGCAGUGGGGAAUAUUGCACAAUGGGCGCAAGCCUGAUGCAGCAACGCCGCGUGAGGGAUGACGGUCUUCGGAUUGUAAACCUUUGUCUUUGGUGAAGAAGAAAGUGACGGUAACCAAGGAGGAAGCCACGGCUAACUACGUGCCAGCAGCCGCGGUAAUACGUAGGUGGCAAGCGUUGUCCGGAAUUACUGGGUGUAAAGGGAGCGCAGGCGGGACUGCAAGUUGGAUGUGAAAUACCGAGGCUCAACCUCGGAGCUGCAUCCAAAACUGUAGUUCUUGAGUGGAGUAGAGGUAAGCGGAAUUCCGAGUGUAGCGGUGAAAUGCGUAGAUAUUCGGAGGAACACCAGUGGCAAAGGCGGCUUACUGGGCUCUAACUGACGCUGAGGCUCGAAAGUGUGGGGAGCAAACAGGAUUAGAUACCCUGGUA